AUUUAAAUAAUUUAAAUAAAAUAUUGAUUUGUGGUAUCAAAAAUAUGAUUAUGUUCAUUUUAAAUU
Molecule: transfer RNA, 66 nt
Filed under: Lymantria sinica
Lineage: Eukaryota; Metazoa; Arthropoda; Insecta; Lepidoptera; Erebidae
Description: tRNA-His
Source: RNAcentral